AUACGGAGGAUCCGAGCGUUAUCCGGAUUUAUUGGGUUUAAAGGGUGCGCAGGCGGCCAUUUAAGUCAGCGGUUAAAUCGUGGGGCUCAACCCCAUUCUGCCGUUGAUACUGGGUGGCUUGAUUGCGGUCGAGGUUGGCGGAAUUCGUUGUGUAGCGGUGAAAUGCAUAGAUAUGACGAAGAACACCGAUUGCGUAGGCAGCUGACCAGACCGCAAAUGACGCUCAUGCACGAAAGUGCGGGGAUCGAACAGGAUUAGAUACCCUGGUAGUCCGCACAGUAAACGAUGAAUACUUGUUUUCGGCGAUAUAAUGUCGGAGGCAAAGCGAAAGCGAUAAGUAUUCCACCUGGGGAGUACGCCGGCAACGGUGAAACUCAAAGGAAUUGGCGGGU
This 392-nucleotide ribosomal RNA is filed under the name uncultured bacterium. RNAcentral's name for it is "partial 16S ribosomal RNA". It matches the Rfam family "Bacterial small subunit ribosomal RNA", at positions 523 to 918 of the family's 1533-position model. The record is from RNAcentral.